AUGAUGAUCUCUUGGGAAUUAUGGAAGGAGAGGAAUGCAAGUGUUUUCAGAGAUAACAUUCCAGGGGCCUCUGAUGUCAUUGCUGCAAUCAAAAGCAACAUGGAACAAUGGAGGCUAGCAGGUGCUAAAGACAUUGAGAGUUUGAGACCCCCUUUGGGGAGAUGA
RNAcentral lists this ribosomal RNA (165 nucleotides) under Triticum aestivum (bread wheat). RNAcentral describes it as "partial small subunit ribosomal RNA". The record is from RNAcentral. Lineage: Eukaryota; Viridiplantae; Streptophyta; Magnoliopsida; Poales; Poaceae.